AUGUCUGGACGUGAGGUUCGUGAGUACACUAACCUCAGCGACCCUAAAGAUAGAAAGUAUGGGAAGGGGAAGGACAAGAUCGACGAUGAGGAUGUCACCUUCCAGCGCAUGGUAGCAAAGAUGCAGGAUGUUGCUGGUGAGCGGGGAGGCUACCUUCAUGGGCGAGGAGCAUUGGACAGUGAUGAUUUGCUUUACCUUAAAGAGCAAAUGGAGGCUGAGGAAGAUGCAGAGCGUCUCCUCCGUCGUACAGAGAAGCGGGCAUUUGCUGCCUUUAAGCAAGCAGCAGUUCUAGCUGAUUCUGCACCUCCUAUUCCCGCGGCUCUUCGCGUCGAGCCUAGACCCAAAAGUGAUAUAAGGCAACGUGAUCUCUUGAAGAAGAUUGUCGAGAUCAAACCAAAGCGAGCAAAAGUCAGCAGCCCUCGACAAACAGCAGAGGGCGAUAGACCUAAGCAGGAACAAGAAGAUUCUGUGAGGAAAAUGUCUACGCCUGAAGGUGAAAAUGAACGGUCUCAAGGGGCAGUCAGCUUUGUGCAACCUCGGUCAAAACCAGGUGAUCCAGCAGAGGCCAAGUCGCAGAAUGCAGCUGUAAGCUUACUUGGUUUAGCGUAUGAGAGUUCGGACGAGGAAUAG
Molecule: ribosomal RNA, 630 nt
Filed under: Triticum aestivum (bread wheat)
Lineage: Eukaryota; Viridiplantae; Streptophyta; Magnoliopsida; Poales; Poaceae
Description: partial small subunit ribosomal RNA
Source: RNAcentral